This 102-nucleotide small nucleolar RNA is filed under the name Brachypodium distachyon (stiff brome). RNAcentral describes it as "snoRNA Plant_U3". The record is from RNAcentral. Lineage: Eukaryota; Viridiplantae; Streptophyta; Magnoliopsida; Poales; Poaceae.
ACGACCUUACUUGAACAGGAUCUGUUCUAUAGGAUCGUACCCCUACUGUAACUAAACAGCGGCUUGAUUGAAAGAAAGAAUGAACCUACGUACUGACAAGUG